Molecule: long non-coding RNA, 651 nt
Organism: Cucumis melo (muskmelon)
Lineage: Eukaryota; Viridiplantae; Streptophyta; Magnoliopsida; Cucurbitales; Cucurbitaceae
Exons: 2
Source: RefSeq, a predicted model, not a curated record
ACCAAAAAAAUUCAACCCUAAAAUAUUUGCAUAAAUCUUUUAUUGUUUCUAUCGUGGAUCCCUACAAAAUUUUGUCCAUCCAAAAUCAUUUCUCGUGGACCACUUCAAUCGUUCUCCAUUGGCCCUCACCACCGUUCAGCCCUCACCCUCAAUCGUUCAACGUUGAAACACCAGCCUUCACCGCCAUGGACCAGACGCCUUCACUGCCAUCGAAACGCCAUAGGCCUUCCCCGUUGUUCAACGUUCUCCCUUCGAAACACCAGACGCCUCCCACUGUCCAGAACGUUCAGUGCUGGAAACCCACUCCGAAAAUCUUCUCCAUGACCUCCCCUUCCCCAUCGACAACUGCCCUUCACUGUCGAAAAUUCCGUCCAUCAUCCCAGCUUACUUAGAGCCCGCAAAGGAAUUCAAAGGAGUAUUUAGACAAAGUCGAAGAGGACCAUAAAGAAAAGGAAGAAGAGAAGUAACUUAAUCUAGAUUCAGAUACAAUAAAUUAUGUUUGAUUUGCUUUCAUUAGACUUCUAGUUACUUAUGAUUUGAACAUCUUACACUAUUAUAUCUUUAGGAUAUUUUGAAUUGUCAAUUUAGUUUCAUUUUAGAAUUAUCAAAACUUUGAAUCUUUAAAUGAUCGAAUGAUAUAGUUUUGUGGAA